RNAcentral lists this transfer RNA (20 nucleotides) under Myodes glareolus (Bank vole). RNAcentral's name for it is "partial tRNA-Trp". Lineage: Eukaryota; Metazoa; Chordata; Mammalia; Rodentia; Cricetidae. The record is from RNAcentral.
AGAAGUUUAGGAUACCCAGU